This 1331-nucleotide long non-coding RNA is filed under the name Numida meleagris (helmeted guineafowl). RNAcentral's name for it is "lncRNA (ENSNMEG00000005727.1)". Lineage: Eukaryota; Metazoa; Chordata; Aves; Galliformes; Numididae. The record is from RNAcentral.
UUUUUUUUACUUGAGGAGGAGGAAGGCAUAAAUGACACCAAAUUCUGUAAUGGAAAGAAAAAAAUAGUGUGUAUCGGAAACUGCUGCUGAGUGACUCAUGCUGCCGGACAAACGGAACCUCACUCAUCACUCCAUCUUCAUCCUCCUCCUCUGGUGAGAGAAAAAGUCUUGGAAAAAUAUCAGCACCCCCCCGCCCUGCUUCUUCUCCUGUGGCAUCUGUACACAGGGAAGCGGUCCAAGCCACAGCAAUGGCUUCAUGUGCUUCUUGGGGCAGGCUUUUUUUUUGCUGUGUUUUAAUGGCCAACUAGGAAAAGCCUCCGAGGUGACCUUGGAAAAAUGUAUGCACCAAAGGAAAAAGUCUGGGGGGGGAGCAUUGGAGUUCGUGUGUGCUGUAUGUUUGGAGGGGUUUUUUUUUUUUUCCUAAUAGUGUUUUUCCAAAUUUCCACUGAAAUAAAUUUGCAAGUUAUAAUUAUUUUUUUUUACGAGUGGGAAGAGAGGAAAGGAUGCGCCGUGCGAAAGGCAGAAGGAGCUGGGCACAGCUCCGACUUAAAUAAAUGCUGCGUCAUAAGAGUGUAAAGGGUAGCGCAGGGGGAAGGGUGGGACGCACAAAAUCGCUCUGUUUCUCCUCUCUUCAGGAGAGUAAUCAGCAUUUUUAUGAAACUUAUAAGCAGUAUACGAAUUAAAUAGAUGUUUUUAUUACUACAAAAUUGGGGGGAGUCUUUUUUUUCUUUUUUUUUUUUUCCCCAAAAAAACAUCUUUUGCAAACUUUUGGCACUGUCUACCAGAAGGCCGCUUAAAAUGCAUUUUUUUGACUGCCAGCUGCAUCCAGCCCAGCUGCGGGCACAGGGAGGUGUUCUCCAGCACAGCCCCUGCCCAGCAAAUGCCUUUUCAGUUGUAGGGGGGCUGGGCUGAGCAGGUAGAUGCAAUGGCUGUGUUCCUCCAAGCUACAAAGCUCGCUCAAGGAGAUGCUGUGUCUUGUUUGUUGUUCACAAACAGAUGAAGCUGUUGUCAUCCCAUGACGCCUCUUUCAGUGCAACUACUUUGCCUCCAUGUCUUCCCACUGCUGUUGAAAUGUCAGAUGGUAAAAACAACCAAGAGUUCCAGAUGGGGCAAUCGGAAGAGAAACAUGCUGAAGAUGAUAAUGAGAAAGUUCUGGAUUCUCUCAACUGGGAGUCCCAUGUCCUCACCUGUGGCUUCCAAACACAAUCACUGUUCAAGUCUUGUGCAAAGCAGCAUGCCAUGAGGAAGUUCUUCAUUAUCAGGGUAAGCAAAGCCUGCAAGAGUUUAUUUUCCCUGUUCACUAGUCCAUGUAUGCUGGGAAUUGUUUGGGA